This 151-nucleotide ribosomal RNA is filed under the name Orbilia sp. 1.02055. Its description in RNAcentral is "5.8S ribosomal RNA". It matches the Rfam family "5.8S ribosomal RNA". From Rfam's summary of the family: 5.8S ribosomal RNA (5.8S rRNA) is a component of the large subunit of the eukaryotic ribosome. The record is from RNAcentral. Lineage: Eukaryota; Fungi; Ascomycota; Orbiliomycetes; Orbiliales; Orbiliaceae.
AAACUUUCAACAACGGAUCUCUUGGUUCUCGCAUCGAUGAAGAACGCAGCGAAACGCGAUAGUUAAUGUGAAUUGCAGAAUUCAGUGAAUCAUCGAGUCUUUGAACGCACAUUGCACCUUUUGGUAUUCCGAAAGGUAUGUCUGUUUGAGC